Molecule: ribosomal RNA, 378 nt
Filed under: Xerotyphlops vermicularis (Eurasian blind snake)
Lineage: Eukaryota; Metazoa; Chordata; Lepidosauria; Squamata; Typhlopidae
Description: partial 12S ribosomal RNA
Rfam family: Bacterial small subunit ribosomal RNA
Source: RNAcentral
AAUGAACUUCACCAGCCCGCCAGAUUAUUACAAGCGAAAGCCUAAAACUCAAAGGACUUGACGGUGUCCCACAUUCAACCUAGAGGAGCCUGUCCUAUAAUCGAUGAUCCACGAUUUACCUCACCACUUUUUGCCAAACAGCCUAUAUACCGCCGUCACAAGUUCACCUUUUGAAAGAAAAAAAAGUGAACAAAAUAGCCCAGNGCUAGUAUGUCAGGUCAAGGUGUAGCUAAUAAACUGGUUUGAGAUGGGCUACAUUUCCUUUAUAAAGGAAACACGAACGGUCUUAUGAAAACCCACCAGAAGGAGGAUUUAGUAGUAAAGUAGGAUUAGCAAGCCUGCUUGAAUAUACUGCCCUGGGACGCGUACACACCGCCC